AGGGGAUUCUUCCAAUGGGACAGGAUCAUGCCUUCUAAGCAUGGAACGCCGGUUCGAACCCGGCAUCCCCUUCCA
Molecule: transfer RNA, 75 nt
Filed under: Terriglobia bacterium
Lineage: Bacteria; Pseudomonadati; Acidobacteriota; Terriglobia
Description: tRNA-Arg
Rfam family: tRNA
About the family: Transfer RNA (tRNA) molecules are approximately 80 nucleotides in length.
Source: RNAcentral